CCUUGUAAACUGGACUUGGGGUUUAGAAAAUGAAAGUGCCCUCCGAGGACAGCAGCAGCACCAAACUUCUGAAUCUUCAGAGUUCAGAGGGCACCGCAGGCAAAUAUAUCAAUCAAUGUCUGAGAUGGUAAUAGGAUGCAGAGAAAACACUGCAACUGCUUCGUGGUUUCCAGCAUAUCGAUAAUGAACGGGAAUGGAAUGCCAUCCGGCGAACUCCACUGUACCAGAAAAACCAGGGACAAGACAGAAAAACUGUGAUCGUCUCCUGGAAUUGGUUCCUGAACUGCAGAUCAGUCUUUAAAUCAGUUUCAAAUACUGACCCAUGAGGAGGAGUGGAUUACAGAUAUAAUAUUCUGCUUUCAAGCAGGGAAUUCAGCUCUUUCCACAAAGGAGAAUAAAAUGUUGCUGUUGCUAUCAAGGUGACACAUCCUGAAACUUGUUGCUUCAAUCCACAAUGUGUAGACUUAAUCACAACUGCAAACUCUUCACGCUGUUGAUCCACUCCAUUAUCAACACCUCCUGCCAAGAACAGUGGCCUGCCCAUAAAAGCCCUGCAGAUAGAGGAAAAAGGGGCUGGCCCCUUGGGCAAUGCUGCAGAACACCUUGCCAUUAACUCCCAUUUACCGCAGCCUUGCUCCUCGGUGCUGGCAGCAUCACUGCCCUUACCAGGAUCGUUUGCAGCAGGACCUGUACUCAUCCGCAUCGUUCCCUUCUGCUGCCAUCAGUGAUGUGGUCUCAUUGCAUAGUCCUGAGCAUGGAGCUUCUGGUGGGCUGCAGUUGAUGGGAUCUUCAAUUUCCGGGCUGAAACUACUGACGAGAAAGAAGGAGCCAGCUCUAUUCAUCUGCCUGUCAUUCUGUCAAAAGGCCUGGACCUUUCUUUCUCUUCUUCCUACUCUGAUCUCUUCAAGGAAAUCAAAGAUCUUUACUAGUAAUACUAGGUAAUACUAGUAACACUUCUAUCAGUUUUCCUGGAGCGCCCUGCAAGAGUUGGCUGCGAGUGAGGGACUGAGGCACAUAGAAAUUAGGAAAGAGAUUUUUCAGUCCUACCAAAGGGAUUUGGAUGCCCAGCAUCCAUUAAAAUGAGUAACAAUUCCUGUCCCACCCUAAAUGGCCAGAGCCCAAAUUGCUCCACAAGAUGGAAACCAUCUUGGUUAAUGCAUGGACACUUAAGCCCUCAGCAUCUGAUUUCACUUAUAUUUUAUUUCCAGCAAACUUAGUUGAUCAUGUCCUAUGAAACACUUGUCCACCCCCCCUCACACCCGCUACCCACUCCCCGACAGCUCAUCGGGCCCUCACUUGCCAGCUCUGCUAUCAGGGGAAGGUGAUGAAGGUAGCUAAUUUGUUUGCAAGUUGGUGACUGAUGUAAAAGGUUCCUCGUCCAUCAUCAUAAAGGCUCUUGGAAAAAAA
Molecule: long non-coding RNA, 1407 nt
Organism: Strigops habroptila (Kakapo)
Lineage: Eukaryota; Metazoa; Chordata; Aves; Psittaciformes; Psittacidae
Exons: 5
Source: RefSeq, a predicted model, not a curated record